This 253-nucleotide ribosomal RNA is filed under the name uncultured bacterium. Its description in RNAcentral is "partial 16S ribosomal RNA". It matches the Rfam family "Bacterial small subunit ribosomal RNA", at positions 524 to 776 of the family's 1533-position model. The record is from RNAcentral.
UACGUAGGGGGCAAGCGUUGUCCGGAUUUAUUGGGCGUAAAGAGCGUGUAGGCGGCCAUACAGGUCAGCUGUGAAAACUCGAGGCUCAACCUCGAGACGUCGGUUGAAACCGUAUGGCUAGAGUCCGGAAGAGGAGAGUGGAAUUCCCGGCGUAGCGGUGAAAUGCGCAGAUAUCGGGAAGAACACCCGUGGCGAAGGCGGGUCUCUGGGCCGAUACUGACGCUGAGGAGCGAAAGCGUGGGGAGCGAACAGG